CCUACGGGGGGGCAGCAGUGGGGAAUAUUGGACAAUGGGGGGCAACCCUGAUCCAGCGACGCCGCGUGUGUGAAGAAGGCCUGCGGGUUGUAAAGCACUUUUAGUGGGGAUGAAAAGCCUGGAGCUAACACCUCCGGGUCUUGACCUAACCCACAGAAAAAGCACCGGCUAACUCUGUGCCAGCAGCCG
This 189-nucleotide ribosomal RNA is filed under the name uncultured bacterium. Its description in RNAcentral is "partial 16S ribosomal RNA". It matches the Rfam family "Bacterial small subunit ribosomal RNA", at positions 338 to 517 of the family's 1533-position model. The record is from RNAcentral.